GUGGCACCGGAUUCUGGGGGGUGGGGUCGUUCGCAGUCAUUUAGGGUUGCCGGCGACGAAGAUAGUUGAGCAGGUGGGCAGUGUUCCAGCGCUAGGAGGGAAGGCUUGACACCUUCUUUAGGUAGCGAGGGCUGGGAGAAGUUGGGUGCCAAGACCACGCCGACAUCUGCUGCCACAGACUCUAGCAGUCGGACUUACGUUGUGGAUUUACCCGCCGUCCUCGCAAGCUGCACCCUGGAGCGUUGGACAGUGUCGGGAGCUCAGACCCCGGGGAGGGGGUCACAUCAACUGGGACAGCUAAGUACCGCUGCUUGUUUGUAUCUAUGCUGGACAGCUGGUUUUAUCGUGAAGGAACUUGGCCAUAGUGUUUUAUUGUUGAUUAUGUUAAUAAAGGAUGUCUUUUUAUAAGUCGUUGCCUACUGGUGUUUUUGGGUUCUGACUGGAGGGCAAGAUAUUCUGCCCGUGCUCCCACUGAAACUUAUACAAUACUUUUUAGUUUAUUAUUGCUUAGUAAUACACUAAGUAACGUUAAUAAUGGGACUCUUAUUGUAAAGUCUUACCACCUAAUGAGAUCUUGUACAAUCUGUUUUGUGACUUUUCAGUAAUUUUAAAUUGAUCAUUUUAAUUUUUAAUUGUCGUGCUUUUAUUGUGAACGGCGUGAGCAGGAAGAAGCAAUGAACUCUGCACAUGCGCAGAACAGAUGUAUCCACAUUAGCGCUGUCAACUCAGACCAAACCGAACUAGUGUUUUGUCGCUCAUCGCCUUUGCCACAGAAAGGUAACACGUCCUUGUUAGUUGGUGUAAAUGCCUGAGGUGAACAUAACGACGCUGUGUGUGCGAGUGCGUAUGAAGUCAGUUCUCACAAAGUUGUGUGUGUGUGUGUGUGUGUGUGUGUUGCUUCAGUGUUUAGGUAUAAAAACAAGUAAAAAGUAAAGUGAAAUUGUUUGUUCUGACCCAGUUUUACACAGUUCUGCUCUGAUCUUCUGCCUUUAAGGGCUAGUAACCUGGUAACCAGUUCACAACCCGCACCAGACAUGAGCAACAGAGCAGAGAUAAGAUUUUGCAAGUGUUUCAUUAUCUCAUUAUACACAGUUAGGGCCAAUAUCGUUAGCGCGCGCGUGUGGUUUUCUGUACCCUGAGGAGAGUCACAUAGGUUCUUAAAACAGACCAGGUUCUGGUCUCUGGACCCUGGCUGAGCAGCUGUCACAUUGGUACCAACCUGGAUCAGGGAUCAAAGCUCAAUGGCAAACGCACAUUAUAGAGAUCCCUACUUCACCCUCAGCAGCCAGUCGCCAUCAUCAGUAAAGUCCGCUGGUAGAGAACCAGAACCACCUGCAGAGUUUGGGUCAGACUGGCUGACCGUUAGAAAGAGACCCAGAUAAAACAAACCGUUCUCUAUCAGCAGGUCUGGUGGAAGGGACACACCCUGCAGAGUUGCACAGCUGAGUCAGAUUAAAGACCAAUCAGGAGGUUCUGGCUGAGCUCCACUUGGUCUCCAUGCCAAUGAAAACAGUUGCUGUCCUUGGGGGUGGGAUCAGUGGUUUGGCUGCAGCCUACUACCUGUGCAAGAGCCCUCAGGUUGCCAAGGUGAUUGUUCUGGAGUCCAGUGAUCGUUUUGGAGGUUGGCUGAGGACUUUAAGGAGGCUCGAUGGGACCUUGUUUGAACUUGGACCCAGAGGGGUCCGUCCCGCUGGAGCAGUGGGACGCAACACUCUCAACAUGGUGGAGGAUCUGGGUCUGAGUGCAGAGGUUUUACCUGUUUCCUACAGUCAUGUGUCCUCCAAGAACAGAUAUCUGUAUGUCAACGGAAAACUUCACAGGAUGCCUUCAGGAAUAAGUGGGAUUCUCCGUACGGUCCCACCGUUUUCCCGCCCCCUCCUGUUCAGCCUGGCCUCAGAGAUCCUAGUGAAGAGAGGAAAAGAAGAUGACGAAUCCAUCUAUUCUUUUGUUUCUAGGAGGCUUGGAAAGGAGCUGGCGGACAUAGCAGUGGAUAGUCUUUGUCGUGGUGUGUUUGCGGGGGACUGCAGGAACCUGAGUGUUCGCUCUUGCUUCCCUCCGCUCUUCAACGCCGAACAGAAGAGAGGUUCUCUGACUUUGGGGCUUCUGCUGGGCUCAGGCCCAACACCUCAGAUCUCAGCUGGACCUUUAGCUCAGAGGUCUAUGAAAGAGUCAUGGGCACAGUGGUCUCUGAAGAGGGGAGUGGAGGCUCUUCCAGAAUCCCUCAGUGAUUACCUGCAGCGCAGCGGAAGAGCGCAGCUCCAGAAGGAGGCGGCCGUUAAACACAUUCAGCCAUCAGCGUCUGGUUGGAAGGUCCAUUUGGAGGAUGGAGUAAUAUCAGCUGAUCAUAUAAUCUCUGCUCUACCUGCUAAAGCCCUCUCCUGUGUCCUCCCCCCCACCUGUCAGUCCCUAAUCCAGCAGCUACAGGACAUCUCCUCGGUAACAGUUGCUGUGGUGAAUCUAGAGUACGAGGGGUCCGUCCUGCCAGUGAAGGGUUUUGGCCACCUUGUGCCUUCAUCAGAAGAUAAAGGCCUGCUGGGGGUGGUCUACGAUUCUGUUCCUUUCCCUGAACACAACAGACCCAGCGGACAGACGACCAGGCUGACGGUGAUGAUGGGUGGGGCCUGGUUCCAGGAAGAGUUUGGAGCCCCGGAGACGGUGACCACAGAGCACCUGUUGGCUCGAGCUACUGAAUCGGUGAGCUGUCAUUUGGGAGUGACUUCAGCACCCGGCUGGACACACGUAGCUCUUCACAAGGACUGCAUACCUCAGUAUCGCCUUGGACACUUUCGGACAGUUGAGUCGAUGCGAAGCUUCAUAAAGAAGAAGAAUCUGUCUCUGUCUCUGAUUGGCUCCUCGUUUGAUGGAGUUUCUGUGAAUGACGUCAUCUUUAGUGGACGAACAGCUGUAGAGGACUUGUUUGGCGGUGGAGUUUGACAUGGUUCUCGUUCACAAACCAGAGGCAUUGCUUCCAGCUGUGAUCAUGGAAGUGGAGAGAGGGCUUUAUGCUGCAAUAUAUUUUUCUGCCUCUAGAUUUGACAACAAACUCCAGAUUUUUGCUUUGAAUACAUACCAAUUUAUUUAUCCGUAAAAGCAUUUUGCAAUGAGCUAAUCUAGAAGUGAGUGAGAGCAGAUGGUGGAAGUAAGAACAAAGGCAGGGGUGUCAUUAACCCUUUAGUUUAUUACAGGAUGUAAAAUAAGUCAAAACAGUUUCUAGCUUUCUCAAAAUCUUCUGACCCACAAGGAAGUCCCAACUAACUCAACAUGACACACGAAACCUAAACUAACCUCUGAUCACACUUACGCCUCAAGCAUCAUGUCUGAUGGGACUGCCAAAAGGCCAGUAAUCCCUAACGCGCACGCACGCACGCACGCACGCACGCACGCACGCACACACACACACACACACACACACACACACACGGAACAUUAUCUGAGGCCGAGUUUCUUCUUCUCUUUCUGUUUCUUGCGAACCACUUCAAUAUUUCGGUCCUUCCACAUGCUCUUCCUCAGCUUGAUGGGGCGACUCCCAACAUACUUCCCUGGAGAAAAACAAAAACCCACUCAGAUUGAACACGUCCCCAGGACUCCUGGGAUUAGUGUGGUGUCACCUGACUCACCGUUCAUCUCUCUCAUGGCUCUGACGUAGUCGUUUGGAUCUUUGAAACUGACAAAGCCGUAGCCUUUGGUCUUUCCGGUCCGUUUGUCUCGAACCACCUAGAAAUGAUCAUUUCAUGAAUCCAUGGAAUCACAUUUGUUUACCCACAAACAGGAUUAAACCCUUUAUCUCUUUUCUAACUUGCCUUUGUUGCAAUAAAGCUCUCCAAUUCUAAUUUUCAGGUCACUUUCUGUAACUGGAAAGGAGAGCUGCACACCCAUCCUACUGAAGCUUCUUUGAUGGAUCCAUUCCUGUUUACGUUCUCUGCUCUUUUAAGCUUUCCAUAGAGUUCAGUUCCUGCCAGCAGGGAUUACCUGACUCCCACUCCAGCAGACUGGCAUCCUCCCAGCUGGACCCUGCUGCUGUACGGAUGCACUUCUUCACCUUUUCGUUCUUGCCUUUCUUCUUGUCCUCUGUAGAACUUUCCACAGGCUGGAACAGAUAAACAAUAAAAAAAAAUAAAAAUAAAAACACACACACAAACUUGUGAAUUCAUAUUCUCAAAUUUUUACAGUUCUGAUGGCCUGUUGUGAAAUUUUCACAUUAGAAAUAAUCACUAGAGAUGUAAUGUAAUGACCAUUGCCACUGGAGCUAACUAAAGGGCUGGCUCUACUCCACCCAGGUGUGGUAUAAAGUGUUGACAUCUGGGUAGCCUGGAUUUUUUUUUUUACGUGCUCAACCGGUUGUUUACUUCGGCCCAAUUCCCAAGGCGGUCUGCUUCAGGCUGAACUGGUCCAACACACCCACUGCCGACUGAUUGGCCGGCUCAAAUUCACGCCUACCAUUGGGGGAGCUGAUUGGCGGGUAGAAUCUGCCAGCGGGGGCUUCAAUUCAUUAUCACUCCUGAUUCUGAGGAGUGAACAUAGACUCUGACUAAAGCUGUUUCUCUGUCUCUGUCUGCUGUGAGGAGCAUGCGCUCGCGCUGGGCCUGAAUCUGAAGGCGGAAACAGACUCAAGAGUUUUGUUUUAGUGAAUAAUACAUCUCGUCACCACUGAUAGAUGUUUUCAUCACACAAUUCAGAUAACAAUAUGUUAUAAUCACCUCAAUGUGAGGGGGCUCCGGCUCAGGCCUGUUUGGACCAAUCACAGAGUUGCUCUCAUCACUCUCCUUCUUGUCAAGUAGGCCUGCCGCCAAUACUGCAGCCUGCUGCUUAGCAACCCGUGCUGCCAGUUCUUCCUGAUGGACACACACACACACACACACACACUCACAGUCACUUCCCAUGUGGCAGUGUUUAGUUAUUUUAGAUGCAAAACUUCAGAUAAACAUGUUUAGAUGUUGAUCAGAGUGCAGACACCAUUCUGGCUUGUCUCUGGGCCUGAGGAUCAACUCUCUUAUGUCCAACCGUCACAGGUGGAGCAGAGUACACCGUUGGUGCUGCCUGGAUGAUGGAUGGCGUUGGUUUGAGGGAGGGCGGGCCCACCGAUCUUGGAGGGCCUGGCAUCAUCGGGACAAUGUCACCAACCUGAGAACAACACCAGAACAACUAAAUAAAUGAUGCAUACUCCGCAA
Non-coding RNA from Nothobranchius furzeri (turquoise killifish), 5168 nucleotides. Lineage: Eukaryota; Metazoa; Chordata; Actinopteri; Cyprinodontiformes; Nothobranchiidae. The record is from RefSeq and is a predicted model, not a curated record.